AGAGUUUGAUCCUGGCUCAGAAUCAACGCUGGCGGCGCGCCUAACACAUGCAAGUCGAACGAGAAAGGGGAGCAAUCCCUGAGUAGAGUGGCGUACGGGUGAGUAACACGUGGGUAAUCUGCCCUUUGGUGGGGAAUAACCCUGGGAAACCGGGGCUAAUACCGCAUAAGUCCGAGAGGAGAAAGCAGCAAUGCGCCGAAGGAGGAGCCCGCGGCCGAUUAGCUAGUUGGUAGGGUAAAAGCCUACCAAGGCAAAGAUCGGUAGCCGGCCUGAGAGGGCACACGGCCACACUGGCACUGAAACACGGGCCAGACUCCUACGGGAGGCAGCAGUGGGGAAUCUUGCACAAUGGGGGAAACCCUGAUGCAGCGACGCCGCGUGAGCGAUGAAGCCCUUCGGGGUGUAAAGCUCUUUCGGCAGGGAAGAUGAUGACGGUACCUGCAGAAGCAGCUGCGGCUAACUACGUGCCAGCAGCCGCGGUAAUACGUAGGCAGCAAGCGUUGUUCGGAGUUACUGGGCGUAAAGGGUGUGUAGGCGGUUUGGUAAGUCUGGUGUGAAAUCUCCCGGCUCAACUGGGAGGGUGCGCCGGAAACUGCCGGACUCGAGUGCGGGAGAGGAGAGUGGAAUUCCUGGUGUAGCGGUGAAAUGCGUAGAUAUCAGGAGGAACACCGGUGGUGUAGACGGCUCUCUGGACCGUAACUGACGCUGAAACACGAAAGCGUGGGUAGCAAACAGGAUUAGAUACCCUGGUAGUCCACGCCCUAAACGAUGCAUAUUUGGUGUGGGUCAUCCAGUUGAUCCGUGCCGGAGCUAACGCGUUAAAUAUGCCGCCUGGGGAGUACAGUCGCAGGCUGAAACUCAAAGGAAUUGACGGGGCCCGCACAAGCGGUGGAGCAUGUGGUUCAAUUCGACGCAACGCGAAGAACCUU
This 929-nucleotide ribosomal RNA is filed under the name uncultured bacterium. RNAcentral describes it as "bacterial SSU rRNA". It matches the Rfam family "Bacterial small subunit ribosomal RNA", at positions 8 to 972 of the family's 1533-position model. The record is from RNAcentral.